AUUGAACGCUGGCGGAAUGCUUUACACAUGCAAGUCGAACGGCAGCACGGACUUCGGUCUGGUGGCGAGUGGCGAACGGGUGAGUAAUGUAUCGGAACGUGCCCAGUCGUGGGGGAUAACGUAGUGAAAAUUACGCUAAUACCGCAUACGAUCUAUGGAUGAAAGCGUGGGAUCGCAAGACCACGCGCGAUUGUAGCGGCCGAUAUCAGAUUAGGUAGUUGGUGGGGUAAAGGCCCACCAAGCCAACGAUCUGUAGCUGGCCUGAGAGGACGACCAGCCACACUGGAACUGAGACACGGUCCAGACUCCUACGGGAGGCAGCAGUGGGGAAUUUUGGACAAUGGGCGAAAGCCUGAUCCAGCCAUUCCGCGUGCAGGAUGAAGGCCCUCGGGUUGUAAACUGCUUUUGUACAGAACGAAAAGGUUUCUACUAAUACUAGGAGCUCAUGACGGUACUGUAAGAAUAAGCACCGGCUAACUACGUGCCAGCCGCCGCAGUAA
This 500-nucleotide ribosomal RNA is filed under the name uncultured bacterium. RNAcentral describes it as "partial 16S ribosomal RNA". It matches the Rfam family "Bacterial small subunit ribosomal RNA", at positions 30 to 523 of the family's 1533-position model. The record is from RNAcentral.